AAAGGAAUAGACGGGGACCCGCACAAGCAGCGGAGCAUGUGGUUUAAUUCGAAGCAACGCGAAGAACCUUACCAAGGCUUGACAUCCCUCGCAAUGGGUAGAAAUAUCCAGUUCCUUCGGGACGAGGAGACAGGUGGUGCAUGGUUGUCGUCAGCUCGUGUCGUGAGAUGUUGGGUUAAGUCCCGCAACGAGCGCAACCCCUGUGAAUAGUUGCCAAUAUUCAGUUAGGAACUCUAUUCAGACUGCCGUGGGUAACACGGAGGAAGGUGGGGACGACGUCAAAUCAUCAUGCCCCUUAUGUCUUGGGCUACACACGUGCUACAAUGGCCGUAACAGAGGGCAGCGAAGCCGCAAGGUGGAGCAAAUCUCACAAAUACGGUCUCAGUUCAGAUUGUGGGCUGCAACUCGCCCGCAUGAAGACGGAGUUGCUAGUAAUCGCGAAUCAGCAUGUCGCGGUGAAUGCGUUCCCGGGUCUUGUACACACCGCCCGU
This 491-nucleotide ribosomal RNA is filed under the name uncultured bacterium. RNAcentral describes it as "bacterial SSU rRNA". It matches the Rfam family "Bacterial small subunit ribosomal RNA", at positions 903 to 1397 of the family's 1533-position model. The record is from RNAcentral.